RNAcentral lists this ribosomal RNA (452 nucleotides) under Streptococcus sp. oral taxon E66. Its description in RNAcentral is "bacterial SSU rRNA". It matches the Rfam family "Bacterial small subunit ribosomal RNA", at positions 28 to 464 of the family's 1533-position model. The record is from RNAcentral. Lineage: Bacteria; Bacillati; Bacillota; Bacilli; Lactobacillales; Streptococcaceae.
GACGAACGCUGGCGGCGUGCGUAAUACAUGCAAGUAGAACGCUGAAGCUUGGUGCUUGCUCCGACGCGGAUGAGUUGCGAACGGGUGAGUAACGCGUAGGUAACCUGCCUGGUAGCGGGGGAUAACUAUUGGAAACGAUAGCUAAUACCGCAUAAAAGUAGUUAUUGCCUGAUAACUGUUUGAAAGGUGCAAAUGCAUCACUACCAGAUGGACCUGCGUUGUAUUAGCUAGUUGGUGGGGUAACGGCUCACCAAGGCAACGAUACAUAGCCGUCCUGAGAGGGUGAUCGGCCACACUGGGACUGAGACACGGCCCAGACUCCUACGGGAGGCAGCAGUAGGGAAUCUUCGGCAAUGGACGGAAGUCUGACCGAGCAACGCCGCGUGAGUGAAGAAGGUUUUCGGAUCGUAAAGCCUCUGUUGUAAGAGAAGAACGAUGUGCGAGAGUUUUUU